GGUGUUUAAGACGUUCGCCAUCAGAGGUAAAUUAUUUCAACUUUUAAUUACUUUAUAAUCAUUAUUCAGAACACUUAUUUUUCUUUUAAAUCUAUAUUAAAAUACAGUUAAAAGAAGCAAUAAAGUUGUAGAUGUACAAAAAUGCCAAACACGGAUUCGGACUUAUAGCGAGAAAACUUAUGGAAAUUUAGGAAGAACAAAUAAGCCCCAAUUUCUAUGAAAUUCUUGCAGCCUCAGCAUUUUGUUUGAUUUCUUCAAAGACUGAAGGCGACCAAUAAUUUACAAUUUGAUCAAAGAUAGGAAACUAAUUAAAUGCCGACUUUCCAUGUAAAACUGGUAUCAUAUUAUGUUCAGUUGACUCAAAACUUAAAGCAUAGUUCAGUUUUGCUCUGUAUAUUUUGUGGCACAAACCUACUACGUCAUAUUGACGUGUUUUAUUUAAAAUAUUUCUGUUCACAUGAAAAAACUUAAUGGAAUUGCCCAUACUUUAAAUUGUAUAUAGUGUAACACAAAAUAAAGAAAUCAAUAAAAUUUUAAUCUUUUAGUUAAUCAUAAUGCUAAGUUAUUGUCGAGAA
RNAcentral lists this long non-coding RNA (575 nucleotides) under Mytilus galloprovincialis (Mediterranean mussel). Lineage: Eukaryota; Metazoa; Mollusca; Bivalvia; Mytilida; Mytilidae. The record is from RNAcentral.